This 690-nucleotide ribosomal RNA is filed under the name Salmonella enterica subsp. enterica. RNAcentral describes it as "partial 23S ribosomal RNA". It matches the Rfam family "Bacterial large subunit ribosomal RNA", at positions 667 to 1269 of the family's 2925-position model. The record is from RNAcentral. Lineage: Bacteria; Pseudomonadati; Pseudomonadota; Gammaproteobacteria; Enterobacterales; Enterobacteriaceae.
CGGAGGGAAACCGAGUCUUAAUUGGGCGUUAAGUUGCAGGGUAUAGACCCGAAACCCGGUGAUCUAGCCAUGGGCAGGUUGAAGGUUGGGUAACACUAACUGGAGGACCGAACCGACUAAUGUUGAAAAAUUAGCGGAUGACCUGUGGCUGGGGGUGAAAGGCCAAUCAAACCGGGAGAUAGCUGGUUCUCCCCGAAAGCUAUUUAGGUAGCGCCUCGUGAAUUCAUCUCCGGGGGUAGAGCACUGUUUCGGCUAGGGGGCCAUCCCGGCUUACCAACCCGAUGCAAACUGCGAAUACCGGAGAAUGUUAUCACGGGAGACACACGGCGGGUGCUAACGUCCGUCGUGAAGAGGGAAACAACCCAGACCGCCAGCUAAGGUCCCAAAGUCAUGGUUAAGUGGGAAACGAUGUGGGAAGGCCCAGACAGCCAGGAUGUUGGCUUAGAAGCAGCCAUCAUUUAAAGAAAGCGUAAUAGCUCACUGGUCGAGUCGGCCUGCGCGGAAGAUGUAACGGGGCUAAACCAUGCACCGAAGCUGCGGCAGCGAACGUAUCACCCAAGACAACUUUACGGAGUUGACGAUUGACGGAGCGAAGCGACGUCAAAGCGUUCAUUAAAGUCGAGUUGGCUUAGGGAUACGUUCGUUGGGUAGGGGAGCGUUCUGUAAGCCUGUGAAGGUGUGUCGUGAGGC